Molecule: transfer RNA, 86 nt
Filed under: Felis catus (domestic cat)
Lineage: Eukaryota; Metazoa; Chordata; Mammalia; Carnivora; Felidae
Rfam family: tRNA
About the family: Transfer RNA (tRNA) molecules are approximately 80 nucleotides in length. Their secondary structure includes four short double-helical elements and three loops (D, anti-codon, and T loops).
Source: Rfam by way of RNAcentral
GCCUGGGUGGCUCAGUCGGUUGAGCGUCUGACUUCAGCCUCAGGUCAUGAUCUCCUGGUUCGUGGGUUUGAGCCCCGCGUCAGGCU